AGAGUUUGAUCCUGGCUCAGAUUGAACGCUGGCGGCAUGCCUUACACAUGCAAGUCGAACGGCAGCACGGACUUCGGUCUGGUGGCGAGUGGCGAACGGGUGAGUAAUGCAUCGGAACGUACCUUUCAGUGGGGGAUAACUAUCCGAAAGGAUAGCUAAUACCGCAUAUUCUGUGAGCAGGAAAGCAGGGGAUCGCAAGACCUUGCGCUGAUUGAGCGGCCGAUGUCAGAUUAGCUAGUUGGUGAGGUAAAGGCUCACCAAGGCGACGAUCUGUAGCGGGUCUGAGAGGAUGAUCCGCCACACUGGAACUGAGACACGGUCCAGACUCCUACGGGAGGCAGCAGUGGGGAAUUUUGGACAAUGGGGGCAACCCUGAUCCAGCCAUUCCGCGUGAGUGAAGAAGGCCUUCGGGUUGUAAAGCUCUUUCGGCAGGAACGAAACGGUGCAGGUUAAUACCCUGUAUCAAUGACGGUACCUGAAGAAGAAGCACCGGCUAACUACGUGCCAGCAGCCGCGGUAAUACGUAGGGUGCGAGCGUUAAUCGGAAUUACUGGGCGUAAAGCGUGCGCAGGCGGCUUUGUAAGACAGGUGUGAAAUCCCCGGGCUUAACCUGGGAACUGCGCUUGUGACUGCAAGGCUUGAGUGUGGCAGAGGGGGGUGGAAUUCCACGUGUAGCAGUGAAAUGCGUAGAGAUGUGGAGGAACACCGAUGGCGAAGGCAGCCCCCUGGGUCAACACUGACGCUCAUGCACGAAAGCGUGGGUAGCAAACAGGAUUAGAUACCCUGGUAGUCC
Molecule: ribosomal RNA, 793 nt
Filed under: uncultured bacterium
Lineage: Bacteria
Description: bacterial SSU rRNA
Rfam family: Bacterial small subunit ribosomal RNA
Source: RNAcentral